GGGCACGUGGUGAAAUUGGUAUACACGUACGCUUCAGAAGCGUAUGCCGCAAGGCUUGGAGGUUCAAGUCCUCUCGUGCCCA
This 82-nucleotide transfer RNA is filed under the name Minisyncoccota bacterium. RNAcentral's name for it is "tRNA-Leu". It matches the Rfam family "tRNA". Rfam says of the family: Transfer RNA (tRNA) molecules are approximately 80 nucleotides in length. Lineage: Bacteria; Bacillati; Minisyncoccota. The record is from RNAcentral.